AUAAUACACAGAUCAUGUAAGGUAAGGUGUUGUUUUUGUCCAAACUUAAAUAGUUUUUUAAUAUAUACAUUUUAAAAUAUGAUUGAUUGAUGGUUGCUGAACGUCCAGUGGCAAAUAUUUCAUGCAUGUUCAGGACAAGAACAAGUUCACAAUAAAUACAAUAGAUAGGAUAGUAACAAAAGAGGUCAUCUGGGAUGAAGGCUGGGGAAAUUUGGAAAUGAGCAAAGAGCUAAAAGCUAAAGCUAAAUAGCCCCUCCCCAUUCCUUAAACAAAGAAUAACAUAAAUGUCAUCAAAUGUUUUGAAAAAAACAUAUACUGUUUCAAAUCGUUACCACGGAUAUUUCGUAUCGUCACAACUGUCGUUUGCAACUAGUUGAAUGUUUUACUGUUUAAAAAAUGCCAUUAACGUUCAACGUGACAGUUAAAAACAAAUACGAAAUUGUAUUUGCUUCAAUAUAAACUAAGCUUGUGGACACUUGUAUUUAAAAUAAUCCAUGAUUAUGUACUUUAAAUAGUUAUGCGUAAAUGCCUGCUCACUACGAAAAGAGACCAACAACAAUUACUUGCAUAAAAGAGGGACGAAAGAUACCAGAGGAACAGUCAAACUCAUAAAUCGAAAGUAAACUGAGAACGUCAUGGCUAAAAAUGAAAAAGACCAUCAGAUAAAUAAUAGUACACAAGAUACAAUAUUAAAAAAUUAGACUGGAAACCAAACACAGGCAUAGGCGGAUUUAGGGGGGGUGGGGGCAGGGGGCCCGCCCCCCCUUUUUGGGAAAAAUUUUGGUUGCUUAUAUAGGGAAUCACUGAAGCGUGACUGGAGCGGGUCCCCUCUUAGGUCAUUGAGUUGGCCCCUACUUGUUAAAAUUUCUAAAUCCGCCACUGACAGGGGUGAUAUCAGGGGCUCCGGAAGGGUAAGCAGAUCCUGCUCCACAUGUGGCACCCGUCGUGAUGCUUAUGUUAUACAAACCAGGUAAAUAGUCGGUAGGCCACGUUCAUGAAAAGGGAAGGGGAUUGUAGUUAGUUUCAGUGAAAGUCAUAAUUCAACAACCCAUAAGGUGACUGGAGAAUAGGAAUACUAUUGGUCUUCAUUCGCAAGCAGUAAAAUCCUUACUAUAAUAUGGUGUCAAUCCAGCUGUGAGGUCAUGUAUAAAACCAGUCAGAAAGGGGAAUUUCAUUUAAUCCAAUGCCUCGUUAAGAGCGAGUUUUUAUGCUAUCUACACGUUAAGAACCCUUGCAACAACUCUUAGAACUGUCCCUAUCCAUGAUACACUCAUUUUCAUGUGGCAAUACUAACUAUCCGAAUCUUAUCCCAGACGGUCCCUAUUACUGGUAUUUUUAUUGUUAUCUUGUUUACAAUAGAAUGUGUAUGACAUAUUUGCCACUGUACUUUAAGCAAUCAAUCACUUAAAAUGUUACUGGCUUCUCCUAACGGGAAGGAUUGUGCCUGAUGUUCAUAUGAUGAAAUCAUAAUCUUUCAGUCAGUUUAGUUGAAGUCUGGAGCUGGCAUGUCAGUUAACUGCUAGUAGUCUGUUGUUAUUUAUGUAUUAUUGUCAUUUUGUUUAUUUUCUUUGGUUACAUCUUCUGACAUCAGACUCGGAUUUCUCUUGAACUGAAUUUUAAUGUGCGUAUUGUUAUGCGUUUACUUUACUACAUUGGUUAGAGGUAUAGGGGAGGGUUGAGAUCUCACAAACAUGUUUAACCCCGCCGCGCAUUUUUGCGCCUGUCCCAAGUCAGGAGCCUCUGGCCUUUGUUAGUCUUGUAUUAUUUUAAUUUUAGUUUCUUGUGUACAAUUUGGAAAUUAGUAUGGCGUUCAUUAUCACUGGACUAGUAUAUAUUUGUUUAGGGGCCAGCUGAAGGACGCCUCCGGUUGCGGGAAUUUCUCGCUACAUUGAAGACCUGUUGGUGACCCUCUGCUGUUGUUUUUUAUUUGGGCGGGUUGUUGUCUCUUUGACACAUUCCCCAUUUCCAUUCUCAAUUUUAUUCUCGUACAUAAAAUAUCGUUAUUUUUGUUAUGAUGUAGUAUUUGCAUGUAUAAUAUCUGUCUAAAUAUAAUUUAUUUAUACUUUGCUUCAAUGCAAUAUUCAAGUACAGUAUCUGCCUCAAUACAACAUUCAAGAAGAAUAUCUUUAUUAAUACAUGUUUUUUUUUUAUUACUGAUAGGAUUCUUGGUCUUCGGUUUAUUGAUUUUGAGUCUUAUCUAUUAUUCAUGAACGGUACAGACCUUUCACCAUUUUCGCCUUUGAAUUGCUUUACAUUUGUUCUUUCGCCUUAUAUAUAGCUGACUAUGAGGUAUGCAUUUUACUCAUUGUCGAAGGCCGUACGGUGACCUACAAUUGUUAACUACUGUGUCAUUUGGUUUUUUAUGGAUAUUAUUCUCAUCAACCUACAUCUUCUUAUUUUCAUAAGAUAUUUAUAUAUAACCGCAUAACAUCAAUUUUGUUUUAAUAUUUUUGUUUUUAUAUUUUAUGAAAAUUCAAUUUUUGCAAAGUGCAUUCCCUUAAUAUAUUCUUUUUUUUUCAAGAAAUUUGGAUAUAAUAAACAAAAUAUGACUCUCUAACAAAACAUGACUGUUUUACAACUUACUUAAGAUUUUUUUUUAAGAGAAGAUGGUAGUUAAUAGAUUGUCGAAAUAACAAAGAAAAGAAAAACAUCUAAAUCGUCAACUCAUAGGUGUCAAUCAAAUAUAGGCAUGACAAUCGUCUGAAAAAAAUGAGUUAAAACAUGAUCACUGACAUUGAUUUUAUAUUGAUGUUGUGACUAUGUUCCAGACCAUAUGAAUAUUUGGACCGUACGCGUACGGUCCGGACCGUAUACGUAUACUCGUACGGUCCGACCAUACGCGUACGGUCGGACCGUAUGAGUAUACGCGUACGGUCCAGCUGAUGUUUUGGGAUCUUAUGGGUUAAAUUUAAACAAACAUUUAACAAAAUCUUUAUUUUUAGUUAUACAAAUUGUUAUUAUUACAUGUAUAUGGAUAAAAUGAUUAAGCGAACAAUUGAAAUUAAAUGUGUGUUUAUUUGUAUAUCCGUGAAUCCUAUUUUGGUACUCAAGGUAACACUGACUUCCACAAAGAACGUCAUAUUUUUUUUUAUAGUAACAUAAUUGUUCAUGCACGUUCCUAAAUAUUCUAAAACGAUUGUCCUCCCACUCUAAGUUUACUUCCGAUAACUUCAAUUCCAAUGAGCAUACUUGGCUUCAAUUUAUGAAUUACUGACAUGCUAAAUACAGGAGAUUAACAGAUUAAAUAAACGUGAUUUUUUUAAAUAGUUAUAAUAUAUUUUUUUUUUAUUUCAAUUACUAUUGUAAUUUUUACAUUAAUUUGAGAUAUAAGUUAUGUUGAUCUGUUAUAUACAUUUGUAUCUGAUAAACGUGACCAACUUCUUAAUAUUAGUCAGACCGUACGCGUACGUCGACCUAGCGUAUUUUGAAAAUGUACGCAUACGGUCCAGACCGUACGCGUACGGUCCAAAUACUCAUACGGUCUGGAACAACUACAUGUGGUCACUUUUCAUACGAAUGGUCUAUGACAAAUAGUUGAGAAUUAUAAUAAAGACAUGUAACAUAACGUGGUAUCUGAAGGCAGCAACAUGACACACGUAGUUUCAAUUCAAUACCGAAAUAUAACGGCCUUUGUACAACACAAGAAACGAAAACCAUAUGAUAUACUGCAACUAACGACAAGCACUAAAUCACAUGCAUCUUUGGACAGGUAUUCACAGAAAUAAACAUGUUUGAGGACACUUAUCUGUAAUUCCAACAAAAAAUAGAAACUUUUGACCUAUGCCUAUAACUAACAAUUCUGAAAAUAUUCAAUCUCAAGGGAAAUCGGUGCAACUAUUUUUACGAAAAUAAGAUGAUUUGAUUUUCUUUAUUUUCAUGAUUUGAAAUAAACUGACCUGAGACCCAGAAGAAAUAUCUUGGAGAUGUACAAGUGUAACUAUUUUCACCUUCGAAAUCUGUAUUUAAAUAAUGUCUUUCAAUAUCAAAACUACAUAUGACUGACAAUGAUAAAAUUCGAACUGAGAUAACCAAUAAAUGAAUGUUUGUUUAUGGGUGUAAGUCUGUCUAAUUCAAUGUAAACCGAUAAUCUGUAAGACCUUUACACAAAGAUUGAUAAUUUAUCUUUAUUUACACAAACAAUUUUAUAAAAAGGAAUUUUGAAUAAAUGAUAUGCACGUAAUAGUCGCAAUUCUUGCUCUUGUGUGAGAUAAGUUUCCUAUUAUAUAAUAAAUAUUUCGACUGGACAAGGAUUUCGUAAGUUACUUUAUAUUGUGAUUUAAAUUAUUGACAUUGCUUUGUGAUACAAGCUGGCAUUACAUUUUGUUUGUUUUAGCUUGAUUUGACUUCUUACGUGUUGGAAUACAUCUUUUAGUCUUUCAAUACAACAGGUAAAUAAGUGUAUCGGAUAUUUCUGUAUCCAAUUCAGCAGUGACGGAUCCCGGGGGAUUUCUGGGAUUGGGACCCUCGUUUUUAUGAUCAAUGUAUUUAAAAGGGGACAUAUGGUUGGACCACUCCCCCUUUUGUCCUGGGUUGGGUACCCCUUUUAAAAAAAUAGUAGGAUCCGCCCCAGUUUUUUUUUCAACAAGAUGCUCUAACGAUUGAAUUAUAAAAUUCGAUGUAAAUAACAUUUUAUAUCAUUUGUCAUAAUUGAACAAGUCGAACAUUGAAAAAGAAAGGAUAGAGCUUGGAUUGGUUACAACUGAAAUCACAUAGAUUACAAUACAGAAAUAAAUGUUUGAAAUAAUCACAACUUAAAAAAAAUAUAUAUACAUGUAGAUACGUUCAUUCCAUAACUACCUUUUUUUAAGAAGCACACUAUUGGAAAGGAAAGAAAGGGGUGUUUCGAUUCAUAACAAAAAAUGAUCUUUAUUAUUUUAUAGUUAGAACAAAUUCUUUCACGUUUGAAUUACAGCAAUGGUUUCAAGUCUUCUUCAUGUAGUAGCAGUUUCAUUUGUCAUUUUGACUUUUCCAAUAAAAGGUAGGUACAUGUAGAUAACAAUUUUGAAACUAUUUUUUGUUUAAACAGUAAAUCUGAUUGACAUUAAUUGAUUGAUAGUUAUUGUUCUCAAUGUCCAGUGGCAAAUAUUGCAAACAAAAGGACGGGUUCACAUUAAAAAUACAUGUAAACGAAUAGCAUCUGUAUAUACUUUUGUUAGAUAAAGGCGAUAUAUUAAGAGUACAAUUCGAAAAGUGGGCUACAAUAUCAUGCAGCAGAUUAGCUGCAGACCCUCAAAAGGAUAUAAUUGAUAAGCUUGAAAUCGAGUACACAAUAUACCACUAUCAUACACGACCCUCUUUGAAUUGUUUCUCUAUAGUAAUAACACAUUCAAAUGCCCCAUCUUUCAUAGUAACGGAAUACACAUUUUUCUGGUAUGAGGGCGCCAGCUGAAGCCCACCCCGGGUGUGGGAUUUCUCUUGCUGCGUUGAAGACCUAGUUGUGGCUUUUGGCUAUUGUCUGCAUUUGGUCGGUUUGUUUUAUCUUUGACAUAUUCCCCAUUUCUAUUCUCAAUUUUAUUUAAAAGCUUUUCAAAAAGCUAAUGAAUUGUCUAAUGUAUGAUAUCUAAAGCAAGUAACAGUACUGUAUCGGGGUAUAGAUUGGAUACAGUAUAUAGUUUAUUUUAGACAAAACAUACAGAAUGAAAUGCACAAAAUUUACAGAAUAGAGGAAAAUUGGCAAAUUAAACAAUAACGAAUGGAAACUAUUGGGUGAUAAAAUAUAAAUAAUACAGAACGUAAGGCAACAUAUACGAAGAAUACAGAAAACAUUUUAGAAAGGUGAACAAUGACCAACGAAUAUAUCGUAUAGAGAAAAAUGACGUUGAAAAGUAAAACAAAUAAUGAUCCUCUGGUAUAACUGAUGUUGAACUCAUUAUUAUCUAAUUUUACAGUGGAAUCAACUUGUAGUAAGUUUUGGAUUAACGGUGCGAUAAUCAUAACCAAGGCAAACACAGAUAAACUUACGGGCAAUGUAACCAGCAGUCCUGGACCAUUUCCGGUAAAAACUGUUGUAAAGCUAAACUGUGCUAGUCCGUCAAAAAAGAUUAAUGGUUCCAGUAUAUCUAGAUGUUUAGCAAACGAAACUUGGGAUAAUAUACCUACAUGUGUUCUUCG
This 6111-nucleotide long non-coding RNA is filed under the name Mytilus galloprovincialis (Mediterranean mussel). Lineage: Eukaryota; Metazoa; Mollusca; Bivalvia; Mytilida; Mytilidae. The record is from RNAcentral.